This 247-nucleotide long non-coding RNA is filed under the name Callithrix jacchus (white-tufted-ear marmoset). Its description in RNAcentral is "lncRNA (ENSCJAG00000085151.1)". The record is from RNAcentral. Lineage: Eukaryota; Metazoa; Chordata; Mammalia; Primates; Cebidae.
UUCAAUUAAGUUCAAAUUUAAUGUUUAUUUUUUCUUUACAGCAUGUUGGUGGGCUUCUAUAAUCUCAGCUACUCUGGAGGCUGAGGCAGGAGAAUUGAUUGAACCCAGCUGGCAGAGGCUGCAGUGAGCUGAGAUCACACCACUACACUCCAGCUUGGACUAGAAGAAUCCAGUUUUAUUCUUCUGCAUAUGGAUAUCUAGUUUUCCCAGCACCAUUUAUUGAGGAGACUGUCUUUUCCCCAGUGUU